UUGAAGUUUAUUUCUUCCCCAGUUGAGUUGAGUGCGUUUUUUCCUUAGUGAAAUCGCUUUUCUUGCAUGGUUCGAGUAUUUCAAUUUUAUUCUGAUUUACCUGUUCCCCUGUAGACGUUCCUUUGUUUCCCCGAUUGAGUUUUUCCAUUUUCAUGGAAUUCCUCUAGUCCCCCAACAGUUUUUAAGUCGUAGCCUGGCCUACAUGCAACCCUUUUAUCCCCCCAGAGUCUCU
RNAcentral lists this long non-coding RNA (232 nucleotides) under Lathyrus oleraceus (garden pea). RNAcentral describes it as "Pisum sativum (pea) long non-coding RNA (PSAT_LNC013737)". The record is from RNAcentral. Lineage: Eukaryota; Viridiplantae; Streptophyta; Magnoliopsida; Fabales; Fabaceae.